Molecule: ribosomal RNA, 460 nt
Filed under: uncultured bacterium
Lineage: Bacteria
Description: partial 16S ribosomal RNA
Rfam family: Bacterial small subunit ribosomal RNA
Source: RNAcentral
CCUACGGGAGGCAGCAGUGAGGAAUAUUGGUCAAUGGACGAGAGUCUGAACCAGCCAAGUAGCGUGAAGGAUGACUGCCCUAUGGGUUGUAAACUUCUUUUAUAUGGGAAUAAAAUGUUCCACGUGUGGGAUUUUGUAUGUAUCAUAUGAAUAAGGAACUGCUAACUACGUGCCAGCAGCCGCGGUAAUACGGAGGAUCCGAGCGUUAUCCGGACUUAUGGGGUUUAAAGGGUGCGUAGGUGGGUUGUUAAGUCAGUUGUGAAAGUUUGCGGCUUAACCGUAAAAUUGCAGUUGAAACUGGCAGUCUUGAGGACAGUAGAGGUGGGCGGAAUUCGUGGUGUAGGGGUGAAAUGCUUAGAGAUCACGAAGAACUCCGAUUGCGAAGGCAGUUCACUGGACUGCAACUGACACUGAGGCUCGAAAGUGUGGGUAUCAAACAGGAUUAGAUACCCCAGUAGUC